UCUGCCGUUACCCAGUUAGUCUCUCUCUGUCACACCGCAAUACGUCACUAAUUGGGCAAUGGGUUGCGAUUGAUUAGGCUACCUGACAUAUUACCCACAGGCUUAUGUAUAGGCACCCGGGGUCCUAAAGCCGGUAGCUCGUCAACACCACUGGUUCUGGGAUUGUGUAGCAGAGUCACGGGUGCUGCGUGAAAUAAACAGGUAUGUCUGGGCAAAGGUUUCUUUAAGUUCUUCCGUCACUGAUUACUAGCUUGCUAAGUGGCUACUUGUUUAACUAUGGUAUAGGAGGGCAGACGCUGGCAGAGCCGCUGUGUUUUGAUGUACGUGUGUGGGCGUGACGCCGUGUGUGCAAAAAGUGUCUGCUGGGCACUGUUACCAUAGCAGAGAGGGCAGUUAUUCUCCAGAAGCCAUCAGCCACAGUGUAGUAGCCAUCUUGAAAAGCGUUAGACCCUCGCAGCUACCCAGGGCUGCUAGUUGCUGUUCUCUUUUAAUGUGUAUUUGAUGCAUUGGUGCCGCGUAUAGUUUGUUUACUUUUUUUUUGUUCCUCUAGCCUAUCGGCCUAAGUAGCUUGUGUAGGUACUACCUAUUUAAUGUGAGCCGCAGGCUAGAGUGGAUUUAUUUUGUUUGUUUUUCUUUUUUACUGUACUUCCAGUUCGUGUGUCUCCCUCCCCCUCCACAGCUAAUAGCCUCGGUGCUUAUAAGGCCCAUUAGUACCUGACCUUGGAUAGCCGGUCUCUGUAGUUUUUCUCACUCUAGUAGCCUACAGAGAUUGCAGUGUGCAUGUAGUUUGAACUCUUAAUUGCCGUGUCACAUAUCACAGAGUGUCUUGGAUAUUGUAGUGCAUUUUCCCUGAAUCUAAAACACGUGUUAUUUAGUGUGCACAAGACCACGUGUGUUAGAGACCUGGCCUGACAUCAGUUCUCCUAGUGGCCCAGUACCGAGGUUCCCCAGUCCCCCUAUUGUGUCUAUGUAUUUUUUUGUAUUAUAUCUGGUGACCAACCAACGCUACUCGUGUCUACUAUUUUUAUACUUUCACCAAAAACUGGCAAUAGUGUUAUUGAGUUCCCCUUGCUAUGACAUAAUUUAGCCCACUUCAAGGGGUGGCGUAGUCAACAGUACCCGAGAGGGCGCUACAUGUACAACUUCUCAAAUGGCCUCGAAUUUAUAGCUAAAGUUGCGUGUAACCGUUGGACGUCAUAAUCAGCACCAUAUGACGUCUUAUUAUGCGAACCGGGUGAUCCCUAAACUUGCCGAGCAAAGACAAUCCUGACAAAACGAAUUAUUUUCUGGUGUGUUAUGCAUGUACUAAAGUGUACAAGUUUAUCACUGAAAGACACCUACAUGGAUUUGAAAAAUCCGUAUAGGCUUAAUGUCAAUGUCAUUUUCUAAGAUUUUAAUAGUAAGGGGAAAUAUUAAAACGUAUUUACUGAAUAUAGGCCUAAUAUAUUGGUUAUUUUCCUGAACUAUCAACUGUAUACCUAUAUUCCUGAAUUCUCUAUAUCCGAUUUGGAUUUGACCAAGAGUUACAACAACUGCCACUGUGUUUUAUUUUUGUGUUCGUGUGCAGGCCCUCGUCAUGGUUGAAUAGGUCAUGUUAUGCAUUUAUUUGGAAAACUUUUCAAAACUGUUUUCAUUCAAUGACCAACAGUUACAACAACUGUUACUGCAGCCAGAUAGCGCAUAGAGAGAGAUUGUAAUGCAUAGUAUCCGAUAUAAUUCAAGUAAAAUGUCAAAACAAGCAUAUCUGAUGGCACUCUUUUUUUUCACAGCCAUGAGACAUACAGAAGCUGACAACUUGAACUUAUUUUGUAUUUUAUGAUGUCGCCAUCUACUGGCCACUGGUAUGGAGGUAAGCAGAAAAAGAUUGGUCAUGAAAUCAGAAGGCAGCAGUCAGGAGCUGGGCAGGCAGUAAUGGCAUUAAUCCAGUUAGUGGGUGAAAUAGAAGUCUGAUAAAAGCCCCUGUUGAUUACAGUUUUUUUUUUUUUAAAUUUUAAUGUAUGUUUAUGCUUUUUUUAACCAAAUAAAUAUGUUUGUAUGGAUUUAAAUGUUAUAGCUAUAAAGCUAUAUUUUUGUUAUUGGCCCCGGUUGUGUUCAUGAAUGUAUAACAUUUAUGUCGGAUUCAUCGUGCCAUUGAAAUGAAGGAUACCACUUUACUCAGCUACAGAUCACAGAUAAUUAUACAUGAACACUGUCCCCAGCAUAUGUUGUCUAUCAACCACAUUAAGCUGUCAAGCAGUUCAAAACUACAUAAUAUAUGUUAGUUUAUAUAUGUUACAGAGUUUUCCAACAGAUUCUUCAAAAGGAUAUUACUUGAAGAAGAUAAUAUAAGACUUUUUCUCAGAGGCAGAUUAAUUUAAGAUUUAUUAAAUGAUAAAAUACAGAAAUUGUUAUCUGAUUUCCCCAUUUGGAUAUAUUACAUAUAUGCCAUGUUGUAGUACUGGAUGUCCAAUAUUGCUAUUCAGUCUGUUCGGUGCAUUAUUCUAACAUUAAAGAGAGAAUGAAACACAACUUACAGUACUAUCACAAAAAGAAUUAUAUUUUGUAUGCAGAUAUGACUUUUAAAACAA
This is a long non-coding RNA of Clupea harengus (Atlantic herring), 2567 nucleotides long. RefSeq lists it as uncharacterized. The record is from RefSeq and is a predicted model, not a curated record. The transcript has 3 exons. NCBI's taxonomy places the organism in Eukaryota, Metazoa, Chordata, Actinopteri, Clupeiformes, Clupeidae.